CACACACGGAAGCCGGGUCUGGCCAAGCGUUCUUCGCUUUCCCAAACCCACCGGUGGCAGCUCUCGUGAGCUGCUUCGUUCCGUGGAGGCUCAACCGGUAUAAGGACGAUUC
RNAcentral lists this small RNA (112 nucleotides) under Aureimonas pseudogalii. RNAcentral's name for it is "rpsB sRNA". It matches the Rfam family "rpsB sRNA". The record is from Rfam by way of RNAcentral. Lineage: Bacteria; Pseudomonadati; Pseudomonadota; Alphaproteobacteria; Hyphomicrobiales; Aurantimonadaceae.